This 253-nucleotide ribosomal RNA is filed under the name uncultured bacterium. RNAcentral describes it as "partial 16S ribosomal RNA". It matches the Rfam family "Bacterial small subunit ribosomal RNA", at positions 524 to 776 of the family's 1533-position model. The record is from RNAcentral.
GACAGAGGCCUCAAGCGUUAGGCGGAAUCACUGGGCUUAAAGCGUGUGUAGGCGGAUCGUUAAGUGUCUUGUGAAAUCCCACGGCUCACCCGUGGAACGGCUGGGCAUACUGGCGAUCUUGGGCCAACUAGGGGCAACUGGAACAAGCGGUGGAGCGGUGAAAUGCGUAGAUAUCGCUUGGAACGCCGAAGGUGAAAACAGGUUGCUGGGGUUGUGCCGACGCUGAGGCACGAAGGUCAGGGGAGCAAACGGG